Camellia sinensis is the source of this 3607-nucleotide non-coding RNA. The record is from RefSeq and is a predicted model, not a curated record. Lineage: Eukaryota; Viridiplantae; Streptophyta; Magnoliopsida; Ericales; Theaceae.
ACUUAAAGUGGACUUGUGGCGUAGUGGGGACUCGAUUGCAUGGACCUCUAGGACAUUCAUUUAUUUUGUUUUAGCUUGUUAUGUCGAGUUUUGUGCAUAUAUUGUGGUUGGGUUUGAUUUGGAAUUAUUUUAUUUUGUGGGCGGUUUGUGUCCCAUUUAGUAUAUAUUUUUGGAAGUUGGUUGUGGUUGGUGUUACCAUUUAGUUUGUGACAUGUCAGUGGAUUGGGUUUUGAUUUAUUUAUUUAUGGGCUAUCGUCACAUUUAUUCUUUGUGAUUUUGGGUUCAUGUUUAAGGCUUACGUGUGCCUUGGGCUUAGUCCCUGUGGGCCACGGCUGGUCAUGCCUGGAGUUGGGGUGUGACAGACUUCUAAUUCUAAAUAAGAUGUUUAGAUAUUAUGACUGAAAAAUGGGCAGUAGCUGGAAUUGAAUUUUCCCUGCAGGUUGCAGCUGGAGCCUUAAUUGCCUAAUUAGAUUGUUGUUGUUACUUUGUUGAAAGUUCAGUUCAAAAAUGGCUUAAAUAUAUGGAGUGGGAAAAUAUUACUUUUUAGGAUUGAUUUCUAGUUUUUCGUCCACUGGAUCCAGAGACAGAACUAUGCUAUGGCUUGGGGUGGUCAUGGCCCCCUCAGCCCUUGAUAAGCCUCUAUGUCUAUGCUUGCUAGUAACUAAGAAUUCAAAAGUUUUCAGAAUAGUGUCCCCUCCAAUAUAUACAUAUACAUAUAUAUAUAUAUUAAUUUUGCUGGGCAUUUCAUCAAGUUUCUUUCACCUUUUUUUAUUUCAUAUCUAUCCACUACCACAUGUUACGAAAUGAAAAAGGCUCAAGCAAUUUUAUAUUUAAUUGUCUCUAGUUGGUAGGUAAUUUCCCAAUGAAAAAAGCUCAAACAAUUUUAUAUGUAAUAAAACAAAUACAAAUACAAAUACAUGGCAGACACUAGUUUAUUAUUAGAUCAAUGGAUUUUUUUUUUUUUGGUAUUUGGUUUGAAAUUUGAUUAUCAAAUUAAAACAUCUAAAUCUGUUAUGAUUUAAAAAUGAUUUAUUAUGAUGAAAUUUGGGAAUGAUGGAGUUUAUUUUGAGAAAUCAGAAAGAAAAGGUGAUCUGUUAAUAGUUAAGCCGGAAGAUGGUAAUUUGAAUAUUUUAUUUGUUGCCAAUGGGUCACCAGAACCAAUUUCUUUGUCACCAAAUUUGGACAGCCUUCCAGAGAAGAAGAGAAGAGGAAGAUCUUCCAUAAGCCGGAAAUCAGUGAGCCUGGAUCACAUUAUGGUUCCAGAGACUGUGUUUGCACUUUUAGAAAAAAAAAAAAAAAAAAAAAAAAAAUUUGUUCAUUCCAAGUGCAUCUUGAUGGUGUACUUGACCUGUCAUGGUCCAAGUCUCAAGUUAGCUACACUUACACUGCUAUUUUGGUAGUAUUUUAUUCGCAUUUUUAGUAGCAUUGUAGCAUAUGAUUAUUAUUCUUGCAAAGUCCAAAGAAUUAAUCUUUUGUUGUAUGUUGCAUGUUGUAUGGGUGGUGAAUGAAGUAGGCUAAUGUAUAAUUUUUUGAUCAAGCUUAUCUUCAGGAAACAUUAUAUGCAGAUACUCUUGAAAUGUUUACUGCGAGUCUGCGAGGCUUACUAUUAAACCUCUGAUAUGUUUUGUUGUUAGUUAACUAGUUAGUUUGUUCAAAACUAUAUAAUACAACCAUUUACCAUUUGACAUGUUCAUUUAGCCUGAAAAGAUAUCUGAAAACAAAAUGCAUUGCGGUUGAGGUUGAGGUGUUCGUGCCAAAAAAAUUGUGGAGCAUGCUUCACACCUUUGGGGCGUUACGAGUUGGGGAAUGCUAACAUAGAGGCAAUUUGCAUAUGGCUGAGGGGGCUGUAUUUUGGCAAAUCAAUGGGGAAUGCUUUAUAAUGACUAGGAAUUCCGGUUUUUCAUAAUGAGACAUCACGAAAUUGUAUGGUGUUUAAGGUUCAGUAGUUCAAGGAUGUGUUAGAUACUCAACAAAAAAGGAUGUGUUAGAUACUCAUUUUUCAUCACAUGUUAUUAUCUUUUCAUCCUUAUUUUGGGCACUGGUUUCUAUCAAUGUUUUACCUCAAUCAGAUAAGGUGGAUAAUUUGUUAUAACUAUUGUAUUGAUGAAAUUUUGAGGUAAAGGAUGUUGAUGUCAAAUGAGUAAAAACCUCAGUGAAGCGCAUGGGUAUCCUCAAAAAUCUAUUGGUAUUUGUCUUUUAUUGUCUAUUCUAUAUGACAUCUUGUGAAGAUGGAUAUAUGCAUCUUAGUUAAGCAAUUGAGCUUCCUGUGGAUCACGGGAUCAGGCUUCUGGCUAGUCCAAUAUGUAAUCAAUACAUCUUACUAUCAAAAAUUUUAUUUUCAGCAUUUGCUCUCAUCUUCAAUGGACAAAACUGUGUGGCUUUGGCACUUGUCUGGCAAGUCUUGUUUGAAGGUUUUGUUCGCACAGUGAUUAUGUAACUUGCAUCCAGUUUAACCCUGUUGAUGAUAGAUACUUCAUCAGUGGAUCGUUAGAUGCUAAGGUUCACAUAUGGAGCAUUCCUGAUCGUCAAGUUGUUGAUUGGAAUGAUUUGCAUGAGAUGGUCAUUGUUGCUUGCUAUACACCAGAUGGUCAGGUUGGCCAUAUCUAGACAGAGCCUCUGAUUUACUUUUGCUCCACUAAAAAGGCGUAGAGAUGUCAUUUUAUAGUAUGUGGGUGUUUUAUAUAUGGCUUAAUGAAUAUUUGUUGAUAUCUGAAGGGAGCACUAGUUAGUUCAUACAAGGGGAGCUGCCGCUUAUACAACACUUCUGGUACAGAAGAUAGUUCUCUCUUUAUCUCUUCUCUUUCUCCUAUCACUAUUAUUGAACUUUUUCCCCUCUUUUCAAGAAAAUAAGUUGCAACAAAAAGCUCAAAUCAAUCUGCAAAAUAAGAAAAAGAAAUCUCAUUGAAAGAAUAUCACUGGUUUUCAAGUAAUUGAUUUGUCAAUCCUAUGUACUUCUGCGGACAUGGUAGGUAUGAAAGAUAAAGUGGAAUCCUUUUUCUUUAUUUUUUUUGGCUUCACAUAAAGUUAUUUACCGGUUUCCAUUGCAAUGGUCCUUGCACCAUUUGCUUCUGAGCCAUAAAUGUUUGCUCGAUGCCUUUACAGUUGCUGAUAAGUUUUCAAUUAACAGUUUGCACCAGGAAGCUCAUCAGAACUGCACAUUACAUCUGCAGAUUCACAGAUACGGGUCAUUGAUGGUGUUGAUCGGGUUCACAAGUUUAACGGACAUCGCGGUGGCAAAUUCCAACCCAAGCCCAAGGUUCAAAUUGAGAGAGAGAAACCUGAUGCUGACACUUCUCAUUGAGAUGCAGUUGAGUCCAUUCCAUGUCGACAACAAGCUCAAUCGAUUCCUUCUGAAACUGAAUACAUGAACGAGGGUUCAAACCUUGCAUUCCCAUCUAACAAUAUUGUUGAUUUCCCAUCCUUGAGGAAAUAUCCAAUAUUUUUUUGGAUGAUUUAGAACAUUUUGGACGGUUUAGAACUUAGGGAUAGUUUUUUAUGUUUAGAAACAUAGUUUUUAGAUGGUUUGGAAUGUAUAGAUAGUUUUUGGAUAUUUAGAACUUAUGGAUAGUUUUUUUAUAGAUGUUUGAAACAAUAGUUUGGUGUUUGA